RNAcentral lists this ribosomal RNA (469 nucleotides) under uncultured bacterium. RNAcentral describes it as "bacterial SSU rRNA". It matches the Rfam family "Bacterial small subunit ribosomal RNA", at positions 335 to 799 of the family's 1533-position model. The record is from RNAcentral.
ACUCCUACGGGAGGCAGCAGUGGGGAAUUUUGGACAAUGGCGAAGCAUGCAUCCAGCAAUGCCGCGUGUGUGAAGAAGGCCUUCGGGUUGUAAAGCACUUUUGUCCGGAAAGAAAUCCUUGGCUCUAAUACAGCCGGGGGAUGACGGUACCGGAAGAAUAAGCACCGGCUAACUACGUGCCAGCAGCCGCGGUAAUACGUAGGGUGCAAGCGUUAAUCGGAAUUACUGGGCGUAAAGCGUGCGCAGGCGGUUUGCUAAGACCGAUGUGAAAUCCCCGGGCUCAACCUGGGAACUGCAUUGGUGACUGGCAGGCUAGAGUAUGGCAGAGGGGGUAGAAUUCCACGUGUAGCAGUGAAAUGCGUAGAGAUGUGGAGGAAUACCGAUGGCGAAGGCAGCCCCUGGGCCAAUACUGACGCUCAUGCACGAAAGCGUGGGGAGCAAACAGGAUUAGAUACCCUGGUAGACAUCA